AGAGACUCUCCAUCUCUACCUGCCUAGCCAGCCCCUAACUGCCUCCUCUCACAAAAGGUACAGUGACCGGCCCUAGGUCAUGCAGAAAUUUGGCUGGCAGAGGGGACAAGACCUGCAUGAGGCCUAGGGACAGAACAUUUUAAGGCCAAAGCCAAUGCAUAAAGCUGAGCCCUUACACCUGUGCUGGAUGAAAUCCCAACCCUACAAUAAGAAGUUACUUCCUCUGACAACACCUGGGUUCACUGAAAAAAGAGGAGACAGAAAGCCUCCCGCAAACCCAGCUCAGGAUGAUGUGUCUUGCCUUGUAGUCAGCUUUGCCCUCCCUCAGUGGGAAAAGGGGCCAAGUUCAGUGCUGCCAGCAAACACAGGGCUGGCCUGGUGACCGCUGUUUACAGCUUGCACUGGGGCCCAGGGAAAAUGGCAGGGAAGGGUCCCAACUGGGCCACUUUAAGAACACACAACCCCAAACACAAGGAAAGGGUGAAGGGACUUAUUUGGGAAUUUCCAGCUGGAGGAAAUGGGUUUUCUUGGUUUCUGUUCUGGGGGGUCUGAGAACAUGGAACUCCAGUUCAUCGAGGUGUGGGGUGUAUCGAGGAGGAACCAGCUUACAGGGGGCCAGCCGCAGUGCCUCAGUUCCCAAGAACAGGCCACACUCCUGGGCUCUUCCUCAGGCUUCUGGCACGGAUGCCUCACAGCUGCACACUGGCACCUGAGAGACAAUUACUCGGUUUUUCUGUAAUGAUGAUUGCUAUUCUGAAGAUCAUGUUCAUGGAUAUACUGACAAGUUUUGACUUUUCUGUUUCUUUUAAGAAACUGUUCCGGGGAGUCCUGCAUUAGAACAAUGCUGCUGCUCUCUACAGUUGAUUGGUCUGGUCAGCUGACAGUAGAAGUUGUCCCCUGGGAGGUUGCACACACUAUUUCUGCGAUGUCCCAUUGCUCCAAACACCUGGCAUGGGCAAGAGGCUCCAGGGAUGCUGGACUAUGGGGUUCAGCCAAAAAUCCAGCCCCUCUCAAAGGACAAAGAUCAACCUUCCAGAACAAUUAGCAAACACUUCUCAGAGUCCUCCAUGCUGUGCAGAUGCCAGAAUGGACUAAGACAUCCUCCCUGGGGAAAGCCCCCACCUCAGCCCCACUGUUUCUCUGCCUUCAUCACCCAGCACCCACUGGAAUGUCAGCUCCACCAGGGCAGGGCCUUCUUUGUCCCAUCCACUGGACAGGACCUGGCUGUGUUCCUGGCCUCGCCCACUGAGGUGGCUAAGGUCUGCCUGCAGACACAGAUGCAGCAGUUGCGGCCCUUGGCCUCGGGGCCUUUGUCUGUGCCCCUCGUGUGUCCUGUGUCUCCUGUAUGUUCAGUGUCCAAGUACCAUGGGCUGCUGCACUGCCUGGCCAUGGUGGCCCAUGAGGAGGGGCUGCACAGCCUCUACAAGAGCAGCUCAGCCCUGCUUUUCUGGGACAGCCACUCCUUUGCCACCUACUUCUUCUCCUAUGCUGCCCUCUGUGGGUGGCUCGGCCCCACUGGCCAUAGCCAGCCAGGUGAGCAGGGGCUGGGACUUGGAAGGGUGGGGACCCCAGUGGGAUGAGGAGGCCCAGGUGAGGUCAUGCCACAUGGCAGUACCUGAGUAGGAACUUGAACCCGGCCUCCUGCCUCCCAGGGUGUGAUCUUUGUUUCCCUCAACACUAAGAGACAGCAGGGAGGGGCGAGCAGACUCAUGCCAGUGCGUCUGAAGCUCCAGCCCUCCCUUUCCUGGUGCCACAUGGCAUCCAGUGAUGGGGGCCAUCAUGGGCCAGGGCUGGCAGGUCCAGUGUGAAGCCACCAGGUCUCCACCACAGCAGCCCCCUGGCAGGGCUGGGAGCCACCUGCCUUCACUACAUUCCCUCACGGACACUGAUCUUGAGGUAUCUGUGGGCUGUAUGCUGUCCCAUGUUCUGCUGAACAAAACUGAUUCCGGAACAAGAGGUGGACCCCCUCCUGAGCCUGCCCCUGUCACACUGGUCUCUGUAUGUGUGGUGCUGUGGGCACCAGACCUUAUGUCCUGUGCCCUGUGCCAGGAACACCCUCUUCCUGCUCGGCCUGGCUGGUUCUACAUCCCAGGCGUCACCUCCUCCAGGAAGCUCUCCCUGCCUGACCACCAGGCUUCUCCCAGGUGUCUCCUGCUCUGCUCUCUUGAGGCCCUGUCUGGGUGUGUGGUCACUUGUCUACCUGCCCUCCUCCCACAAGAGCCUGUGAGCAGUGUAAGGACUUCAUCUGGCUCCAGGGCUGGUGCACAGUAUGUGCUCAGAGGGUGUGGAAUGAAUGAAUGAGUGAAUGAAUGAAUGAAGUCCUGCAGUGGAUUCCUGGGAGUGUGUCCAGCUUAGGAGAUGCAGAGGCUGAGAUGCUCUGGCCAAAUGCUGGGAAAGGGAGGCAGCUAAGAGAGAGUUUCCACUGUUCAUCAAAUGCUGACCCCAGGACCACUUUGUCAAGAAGACCACACCUGCUCGGGCUUGGAAGGAGGGUUCCUGGUAGCACUCCUGGCCCAGCUCCAGCAGCAGCUGCACCCUGGGAGGUGGGGGCCUUUGGCUUCCCUGAGCCUGUGUCACUGAGCAGCUGGCUCCAUGUGUGUCCGGAGCGCUGUCACUGGGGAGGGGGUGCAGGUUGUACAGGAGCGGCCCCUGUACUCAUUGUCUCUACAACCUCUACCGUAAUGAUCAGAGAUUACUGGGCCUGCGGCAAGGCCCAGCCAGCGUGGCCCUGGGGAGAACACAUCACAUCUGCUGGUGCUGCAGGCGGGGGCUGGGGGCCAGAGGCAGACCUGUUUCUCCCCGAGCACUAUCCUGGAGCGGCAAGCUGUUCUGCAGCUGUCCCUGUGUGCUCAGCCACCCUCUACCUUGGAUCCCCGCUCCCCUACCCAUUGCUCUUCAUACACCGUACCCUUUCAGACAAAGUUGGCUGGUCUCCCUUCCAGGCUGGGGACCACAGGGCAGCAAGGCCAAGCUUGGUCAGUACCACAUCUGUCUGACAAGAGGACAUUACCAGCUGGAGUAGGAGUGCUCUUCCGGCAGAGCCUACGGCACCAUGGUGGUGCUGGCAGCCGGCCUCACACCUCAUCUCCAAAUACCUGCGGGGCCACUGCUCCUGUCCGUCCUAAUCCAGAUGUGCCCUUGUCUCUCAGGGAAAAAUUCUCUCGGAAACCCCUGGACUUUAGCAAAAUGGGGGAGGUAUGGGAGGUGUGCAGCCCUCCUCUGCCCUGACCAGCGGUGGCCUUGGGCAAGUCACCUGACUAUUGGACCCAGGGCACCCCUCCUAAUACCCUAAAUAGGAGGCAUCACUGCUUUUUACAGGGGAGAAGAUGGAGGUCCCAGGAAGUUAAGUGACCUGUCCAAAGUCACACAGCUGAUGAGGGAAGAAGCUGGUCUGUGUUGGCUCACUCCCUUCUGGGCCCACAGCCCUGCCCAGGCCCUGCCAAUAGACACUCUGGCUGGGUGGACCAUGACAGCAGCAGCUGUCAUUGACUUCACUUGUUGUCCCUCAUUGCACCUGCCCCACAGGUACAAUGGAGCUACAAUAAGUUGUAUUAGUUGCCCAGGGCAACAUGGCUGGUGAGAUGCUAUCUUCUGUAAGUGGUUCACUCCCACUGGCCACAGCCAGCCAGGUGAGCAGAGGCUGGGCCUGGGAAGGCAGGGAGAAGGGCUCAGCCCAGCAGGAAUCAAGGCUGGGAAAGGAGGCCUACGUGAGGUCAUGCUGCACACCAGUACCCAAGUGGGACUUGAACCCAGGCGUCCAGCCUCCCAGGACUGGAACCUUAAUUCCCUUAUUUGUAAAAUGGUGCUCCUGUGUAUCUGUGUGGAGACAGAAGCACCAAGAGCCAGGACAGGCUCACUGUGUCAGAGUCACCCUGUGGCCUUGGACAAGCCAUGUUCCCCUCUCCUAAGCCUCAGUUUCCCCACCUGCAAAAUGAGGAUAGUCCGGUAUAGUGAGCCCAAGUCUCCCUUGCAGCUUGGACUCUGCCCUGGGCCUCAUGUGAAUGGGGCCUGGCCUGGCUCCCAGCCUGUGCUCCCCAUCACUACACAGCCCCACCAAGCACCCCAUGGCUGGCCCCUCCUCUGAGAAACAAGGACAACCUCUACUUGUGUUCUCCACCAGCUGUUGGGAAUGUGAAAUGAGGUGUGAGAGGGAGCCCGCACCAAGACACUGCUAACGGCUGUCCCAGCACAAGCCCAUUCCUGGGAGCCUACGACUCGGCACGGUGGGGUUCCCGGGAUUGUGCGUUUUCCCCAGAUUUUGACCCCAGCAGACUCAAGGCCAUCCAUGAAGAGGGGAAGGGAGGGGACUUUGUUCCCUCCUCAGACCUCCCAGACAGAGCACAGCACCUCGUGCGGGAGCCAAAGAAGUUUAUUUACUCCAAGGGGCGGCAGGAAGGCAGAGCGCUCAAGAGGAGAGACCCAGAUAUAUCGACCAGGGGCUCCCCUGAAAUUUGGAAUUUCUCUUCCAAGCCUGAACAUGGCAUGUGAUUAAAUGCAGCCUGUCCAGACACCAGUGAGGGCCUCUAGGGCUGCUUGUGUGACUUUCUUCCUAGCUACGUCCACCCAUCCCGGACACAGCCAGUGCAUUGCUCUGUACUGACUUCCAUUGCGGUCAAUUGUCAAAAUGAAACAUUUGCAGAGGUAAUGACUGCUCAGCAUCUGACACAGUCAGGGGAAAAGACACCGCUGACUCUGCAGGAUGGAGGGUCUAGGAUCCAUUGGCGGGAAAACACUAGUCAAGGGAAAUGAGCAUGAUUUCCGGAGUAGAAUACAUGCAUGGUCUGGAGUUAAGUAAACCGGAAAGUUUCACCCCCAAGACUCAAUUUAAUAAAAACUGCCCAACUCUGUUCACUCUUUAUGAUUAAAAGCAGCUUUAAAGCUGGCUGAUUUCUUAGUCAAAUGUGUAGCAAAGCUUUUACCUAUCAAUUUUUUUCGUGGUGAGUCAUGGGCUGAAAUACAUCUUGCGCUCAAUAAACUUCCCCACAUCAACAUUUCAAAGCACUUUUUAGGUUACAAUAAUGAUAUUUCACUUCCAUAUAUGCAUACAUAGAAUAUAUAUUUUAAAAUAGAGUGGGUUUUAAGAGUAUACUGGGAGCCCUAGGAGUCUUCUAUGGACAGAACAGGUUGGCCCAUGGACUUCCAGCCAAAGGCUCCAUGCCUUGGGGCUGCUUUGGGGGAGAGAUUCACAGCUGGACUUCUCUAUCUGACCAUGCAAUGUCAGCACCAAUCACCCACAAUGUUUUGCCCUCAAGAGACAGAAAUAAUGAAACUCAGAGGAAUAAACAGUAUUGAUAACAUACACAGGCUUAGAGAAACCAAGCCCAGUAAUGAUCAUGUGACGGAAGACUACAGGUAGCGGUACUUUGAUUGGGCUGGGAUUAUUGAUAAAUCACGUCUCUUUAUAAGCAUAUAUAAAAUGAGCACGACUGAACUCAUUCGUUAGUGAACUCUUUCACUAACUCGUCCAUGACCUCCUUGCACUGGGCUUGGUGCUCUGUAAUCACGGGCUGGAGAACCUCUAUGAGCAUCUUCUUGAGGUCACCAGUGAGCAUGUCUCUGCUGGUGUCAUCCUGCCCUCAAAAAGACAGCCAUGGUGAGAGAUGGCUCCACAUGCCCUAAGUGGCUUCUUCCUGCCUCAGACACCAGGUCAGCCCACACCACCCUUGCAGAGCCAGGCGUGCAAGUGGCACUUAGAAGUGAAAUCUGUUGUUACCAUGACAAACAGCUGUACCUUCAGCUACACUUUUCUUAAAACAACUAGAAACCUGGCUGUGGCAGUAGCCAUAACUUGGUCUCUCAUAGUGAAAGGGCCAAUGAGGAGGGCAGUCCCCACCUCCACCGACGCUAGGGACUGCUCCCCCAAGCAUAAACAACAAUAAUUCCUGGCAGCCUUAUGGCCUCUGUAAAAUCUUGCUGAUGUUUUUCUUUUUCUGAUUGUAGUACAUGCUCAUUAAACAAAUUUAAUAAGGUACCCAAACCACAAAACAGCAGCAAACUGAAGAAAAAAAUCACCUACAAUUCCAGUGCCCAGAGGUGGGGCCCACUGCUAACAUUUGGCACAUUUUCUUUACAUUUCGUUCCCUGUGCAUUUCAUUUAAACAAUUAACCUCUCACUGCAUUUUUCAUUUGGUGUUCUUUUUUCAUUAUCCUAGGCAUAUUCUCCUGUGUCACUAAAGUCUUUUUUUUGUUUGUUUUUUGUUUUGUUAAAGAAAUGAGUGUCUCAUUAUGUUGCCCAGGCUGGAUUUGAACUCCUGAGCUCAAGGGAUCCUCCCGUCUCAGCCUUCCAAGUAGCUGGGACUACAGAUGUGUGCCACCAUACCCUGCAUAUGAAAACUCUUUUAAAAUAGUUCAUGUCCCCAUAAUAACCUAUCCUGUAACAAUUCUAAUUUAACAUUUCCUCUGUUAUACAGUUUCUUUUGAACUUUUUGCUAUUAUCAUUUUAAUGUCUUGGUGUGGAAAGCUUUUACAUAUUCAGGAUUAUUUCCUUGGAAAAAAUUCCAAGAUUUGGAAAACUGAGGCAAAGCUCUGAACAUUUUUGGGCUCUUUGUACCUGGUACCAAACUGCUCACUGAGGCUGUGUGGAUGAACACUCACAUGGGUGUGCCUUGAAGCAUCUGGUUUACAAUCAUUGAAAACACAGUCAAGGGCAACACAAAAACUCUGGUAAUUCUAUAGUGAAUUGUCUCAGCUUUGAUCAUGUUAACUUAUGUUUCUCUGGUGACUAGUAAGAUGAGACUGUUUUGUGUGGCUACUAAAUAAAUAGUAAUUUAUAUCUGCCCUUUUGCGAUUUGUUCACGAGGUUUCUGAGCACAUGUUUAAAAAAC
Molecule: long non-coding RNA, 6824 nt
Filed under: Homo sapiens (human)
Lineage: Eukaryota; Metazoa; Chordata; Mammalia; Primates; Hominidae
Description: non-protein coding lnc-MPEG1-1:2
Source: RNAcentral